RNAcentral lists this ribosomal RNA (478 nucleotides) under uncultured Methanosaeta sp. Its description in RNAcentral is "bacterial SSU rRNA". It matches the Rfam family "Archaeal small subunit ribosomal RNA", at positions 861 to 1338 of the family's 1478-position model. Lineage: Archaea; Methanobacteriati; Methanobacteriota; Methanomicrobia; Methanotrichales; Methanotrichaceae. The record is from RNAcentral.
GGAAUUGACGGGGAGCACCACGAACGGGUGGAGCUUGCGGUUUAAUUGGAUUCAACGCCGGAAAUCUUACCGGGACCGACAGCAAUAUGAAGGCCAGGCUGAAGACUUUGCCGGAUUAGCUGAGAGGUGGUGCAUUGGCCGUCGUCAGUUCGUACUGUGAAGCAUCCUGUUAAGUCAGGCAACGAGCGAGACCCACGCCCACAGUUGCCAGCGUACUCUCUGGAGUGACGGGUACACUGUGGGACCGCCGCUGCUAAAGCGGAGGAAGGAAUGGGCAACGGUAGGUCAGUAUGCCCCGAAUAUCCCGGGCUACACGCGAGCUACAAUGGUUGGUACAAUGGGUAUCUACCCCGAAAGGGGACGGGAAUCUCCUAAAACCAAUCUUAGUUCGGAUUGAGGGCUGCAACUCGCCCUCAUGAAGCUGGAAUCCGUAGUAAUCGCGUUUCAACAGAACGCGGUGAAUACGUCCCUGCUCCUU